CGUUCAGAGAUGACUAGAAUGAGGGAGAACUGUAAAAUGAGACUUGAUGACUUGAAAAUGAGAAGCUAAAAACUUAAUUUCUAUCAUUUUCAGUAUUUUCUAUUUAACAAAUUUCUAUUAUGGAUUUGGACUGGAUUGAAAAGAAAUAAAUUGACUACUAUUUUGAACCCAGAGAAGACAACUGGAACAUACAACCUAUGGAUUUUGGAGGGUCAAACUUGCUGCAAAUUUGCUCAAGAACACCCUGUGGAGGAACACACUCUCUUGACGCAAGAGGCUGUGGCUGAUAAGCUGUCAUCUAGUCAAGCUCAGAUUUCCGUCCAAUGUAAGGAAAACUCUGAGGGUCAAGACGGAACAGUGCUGUUUGACACGGAAGCCUUUCCCAUGGCCAACAUCCACUGUCCUAGCAGUGUAGAAGAUCUUCCUGAAGGUCAAUGUAAACAGCAGUAGAUCUCUGCAGAUCUCCUCAUCAGUUAUUCGGGGAUAUUUCGAACAUAAAAUCAUCUUAACAAGAUUCUUUCUUUGUUUUCUGAA
Long non-coding RNA from Sinocyclocheilus anshuiensis, 534 nucleotides. RefSeq lists it as uncharacterized. Lineage: Eukaryota; Metazoa; Chordata; Actinopteri; Cypriniformes; Cyprinidae. The record is from RefSeq and is a predicted model, not a curated record. The transcript has 3 exons.